This is a long non-coding RNA of Coturnix japonica (Japanese quail), 1695 nucleotides long. The record is from Ensembl. NCBI's taxonomy places the organism in Eukaryota, Metazoa, Chordata, Aves, Galliformes, Phasianidae.
UGUCCCUUUUCUCUCCAAACCAUGGUGCAUCCACUGCCAUGUUCCUUCCCUGCAGAUUUCCCGGGGUCAUCCAACUGACAGAGGGAAAGCCGCCGUGCCUGUUGUCAUUUGCAUUAUCCUGGGGGCUCUUCUCUGCCUGCUCCUGGCCCUCCUGGCUGGGCAAACUGUCAAGGCACAGCGCAGAGGCUCCAGGAGAACUGAGGAGCCCUUCCCUGAGGUUGUGUAUGAGGAGAUCGGAUACAGCUCUGCAUGGGAGAAGCAGACAACGUUUGAUCACUCAGGUGAGUGCAGGCCCUUUGAGGGCACAUCUGCAUGGACCUUUCCCUUUCCCUUGGCCCCAUCUGCCCCUGCCAACACCAGUCUUUCAGCUCCACCACCUGCACAUUCCCCGUCUUGCACUUCAUGGAAUGUUACUUCUCACUGCCACCAGAUCCCUUCUCCUUCUAGACAUUGCUAUUGUGCCCAGAGAUGAUCCAGAAGAAGGCUAUGAUGAUGCCAAGGAGGUUUCUGAACCUGGGAAUGAUCCUGACUCUGGGCAGGGUCACUCUGAAGUGCCCAGGACACAAAAGGAGGAAGAGGAGCCAAUGGAUGCAGUCAGAGGUAAGAAGGAAAUGAAUUGCAGCUCUGCUAGUUACCACAUACCGUUCCCUGUCUUAGGUGAAUUGCUGCAGUACCAUGAGCCCAGCCUUUUAUGAUGGGGAACCUGCCCAAGGAGAUUUCCUUAGGGGAAAUGGGUCUUGGACAUGGCCAGUGAGAAAAAGGAAGGAAUGAGAUGGACAGCCCUGAAGGGGUAUCCUAUGGAACAAACCACAGUACUUGUCUUACUGCUUGCAGGGAUGAGUCUGCACUCCCAGAGAAAUACUGGAGGCUCUGGAGCAGGUGGAGAUACCUUGUCCUUGUUCCUGAGGAGCACGGGCUAUGAUGAUGUUGAAGAGGUGUCUCUGGCACAUCCCCAUGGGGAUAUGAGCACUGUGAAACUAGAGUGGGACACAAAAGGAUCCCUGAGCCCCGAGCAAGGAGAACCCAUCUCUGCCAUGAGCCCGAGUGCAGUUGCAAGGGAAGAGAAGCUGGUGCUGCUUAGAGAGCUGUGAGGUCCCCUUUCCCAUGGGCAGCAGUAGUGUGGCAUUUCCUCUUGUGUUAGUACCCUGCUUUUACAUCGCGUCUGUAUUUGUUCUUAUUAAAACCCUUUGGAAGUUUUGAUCCAGAGCUGGUGCUUCACUGCCCAUGUGUCGGUUGGAUCUUUGGGGCUGGUCAAGGGAAGCAGAGCACAAAGACACAGUGAUGGGGAAGGGGUUUUUUGUGGGGAUAGUGGUACUGGGUUCAAGCUCUGGGGCUGAAAGCAUGUGGUGCAUGGGGACUAUUCCUGCUCACAGAGACGUUUCCAUCGCUCCUACCAGAAGCAGAGUUUCAAGCCAAAGCAGCUGUCUACAAGGUCUUAUGGUGCUCCUCUGAGGGAGGGUCCUCCUGCUGCCUUUGACUUUUAGGAGGGGGAGAACAUUCCCUUAUUGUUGUGGGAGACAGAGGAGGGAAAAUCCUCUUGGGAGGAGAUGUAAGCUGCAGCCUAAGACCAUUGUCCAGCCCCUGUUCUGGAGAAGGUUCCAUCCCAGAACUUGGCCAGAUUUCCAUGGAAGAGAUUUUGUGCUCCUCUCCUGAAGCAGGCACUGCUAGAAACUGAGCCAGGGUCCUUUCUUCUUG